Molecule: long non-coding RNA, 474 nt
Organism: Schistocerca serialis cubense
Lineage: Eukaryota; Metazoa; Arthropoda; Insecta; Orthoptera; Acrididae
Exons: 2
Source: RefSeq, a predicted model, not a curated record
CGAUAAAAAAAAAAUCUGUUCUGUUAUUGUUUCAUGACAUCAUCCGGUGGACAUCGGGAAGCCAUAUAGGAAGUACUGAACAGAACCGUGGAACUAUUAAAAAUUUCGAAAAAUAACAGCAGUGGGCAAAACGACAGAUUUGCAAGAAACCAUAUUGCAAUGGACGACUAAGUGACGCCAGUUUGAGAUGCAACCAAACUCAUCCUACUCACUGUUUCGGGCAUCAGCCUCACUGUCCAGAUGCUGUCUUUCACGAUAGGUCCUGGAGCAACCGACAACGGUUGCCUACAUCCGGUCCUUGGAUCAUCAUGGCGUCGUCUUCAUCAGCUGAACCACUCGAUAACAUCUCCUAAGUUUGUCAUAAAAUAUGAACUGUAAUCGUUUUGUUAUUGUGCAUAUGCUACAUGUUAUAUUUUAAUUACACCAUGCUACCUGUGUGAGAAAACGAAAUCAAAAAUAAAGACAGUGUCUAAA